RNAcentral lists this ribosomal RNA (723 nucleotides) under uncultured bacterium. RNAcentral describes it as "bacterial SSU rRNA". It matches the Rfam family "Bacterial small subunit ribosomal RNA", at positions 79 to 796 of the family's 1533-position model. The record is from RNAcentral.
GCAAUCCUGGUGGCGAGUGGCGAACGGCUGAGUAAUAUAUCGGAACGUGCCCAGUCGUGGGGGAUAACGCAGCGAAAGCUGUGCUAAUACCGCAUACGAUCUCUGGAUGAAAGCGGGGGACUCGCAAGGGCCUCGCGCGAUUGGAGCGGCCGAUAUCAGAUUAGCUAGUUGGUGGGGUAAAAGCUCACCAAGGCGACGAUCUGUAGCUGGUCUGAGAGGACGACCAGCCACACUGGAACUGAGACACGGUCCAGACUCCUACGGGAGGCAGCAGUGGGGAAUUUUGGACAAUGGGCGCAAGCCUGAUCCAGCAAUGCCGCGUGCAGGAUGAAGGCCUUCGGGUUGUAAACUGCUUUUGUACGGAGCGAAAAGGCUUCUCCUAAUACGAGGGGCUCAUGACGGUACCGUAAGAAUAAGCACCGGCUAACUACGUGCCAGCAGCCGCGGUAAUACGUAGGGUGCGAGCGUUAAUCGGAAUUACUGGGCGUAAAGCGUGCGCAGGCGGUUUUGUAAGACAGAUGUGAAAUCCCCGGGCUCAACCUGGGACCUGCAUUUGUGACUGCAAGGCUAGAGUACGGUAGAGGGGGAUGGAAUUCCGCGUGUAGCAGUGAAAUGCGUAGAUAUGCGGAGGAACACCGAUGGCGAAGGCAAUCCCCUGGACCUGUACUGACGCUCAUGCACGAAAGCGUGGGGAGCAAACAGGAUUAGAUACCCUGGUAGUCC